This 343-nucleotide RNase P RNA is filed under the name Pseudomonadota bacterium. RNAcentral describes it as "RNase P RNA component class A". It matches the Rfam family "Bacterial RNase P class A". Rfam says of the family: Ribonuclease P (RNase P) is a ubiquitous endoribonuclease, found in archaea, bacteria and eukarya as well as chloroplasts and mitochondria. Its best characterised activity is the generation of mature 5'-ends of tRNAs by cleaving the 5'-leader elements of precursor-tRNAs. RNAcentral also lists the same sequence under 1 other name. The record is from RNAcentral. Lineage: Bacteria; Pseudomonadati; Pseudomonadota.
GGAGUAAGCUGGAUGAUCGCCUCGAGUAAUCGGGGAGGAAAGUCCGGGCUCCGCAGGGCACGAUGCUCGCUAACAGCGAGGGGGAGCAAUCCCACGGAAAGUGCCACAGAAAAGAAAACGCCCCACCUUCGGGUGGAGCAAAGCUGAAACGGUGGUGUAAGAGACCACCAGCUCCGCAGUGAUGCGGAGGCUUGGUAAACCCCAUCGGGAGCAAGGCCGAAUAGGAAGGGGAAGAAGCUGCCCGCUGACCCUUCGGGUAAAGGCCGCUUGAGGCUCGGGGCAACCCGCGCCCUAGAGAGAUGAUCAUCCUCGACAGAACCCGGCUUAUAGGCUUACUCCAAAA